GUACAAUCUAGGUCGUCUACAAUACAGUUACAUUCAUUACUGGGAUCCUGUCACUAGUAUAUUUUAAAGUCAAAUGUUAAUAUAAAGAGUUGCUUCUAAUAAACUCUAAAAUUGAAAUCUAGAAUUUUGUCUGAUGACAUUUUAUAAAGAAGAAAACUCAAAGCAAAUUGCUGAACUUCUAAAGCACCUCUAUUAAGAGUGGCUGCUCCCUAUUAAAUCCUGCCAAAUUGGGGUGCUCUGGACUUGGCACCCAGUUACAAAAGCAUCAUAGGUCUCAUGAAAUCCCAGAUUCAAUUACAUUCCUUAUAAGCAAUAUAAUGGCGCUAAGUCUUUCCGCUCAGAAAUGGCACAUAAUCCUCCUAGAUACGAUGCCCUCAGCUGCCUACUUGUGGCCUCCCCGUUGUCUAAUGAGCUCUCAGUAGCCAUGGUUUUCUCUUACCAGUCUGCUUUCCCUUCAGUAUCCAGAAAUAAAUGCAGUUGAGCUGUGGAAGAUCCUGAACCACAUGACCUGGCCAGAUGUCUUCCAAACCUUAACCCAAGAUGGCAAAGGGAUAGACCUGCAGAAGCCAAGUGGUAAGACUCCUCCUCCCUCCCCAGCAGUCAGCUCGCAACAGUUUAAGUCAAGAUGGUCAUUGAAGUCCAGGCUUUUGUGAAGAAGUCAGGUUCUGGGGACGCUUCAACUACUGGGUAGGAUAGUUAGCACUCUACUCAUUGUGCUCCUCCAUUUAUGCAAUAUUUACUAAGCACCCACUCUGUGCCAGACAUGUGUGAAGGGACAGGAGAUGAACAUAGC
RNAcentral lists this long non-coding RNA (793 nucleotides) under Fukomys damarensis (Damara mole-rat). RNAcentral describes it as "lncRNA (ENSFDAG00000025556.1)". Lineage: Eukaryota; Metazoa; Chordata; Mammalia; Rodentia; Bathyergidae. The record is from RNAcentral.